Molecule: ribosomal RNA, 449 nt
Filed under: uncultured bacterium
Lineage: Bacteria
Description: bacterial SSU rRNA
Rfam family: Bacterial small subunit ribosomal RNA
Source: RNAcentral
GUGGGGAAUAUUGGACAAUGGGGGCAACCCUGAUCCAGCAAUGCCGCGUGUGUGAAGAAGGCCUUCGGGUUGUAAAGCACUUUCGGUGGGGACAAACAAGGCGGAGCUAACAUCUCCGUCCCUGAUGGUACCCAAAGAAGAAGCACCGGCUAACUCUGUGCCAGCAGCCGCGGUAAUACAGAGGGUGCAAGCGUUAAUCGGAAUUACUGGGCGUAAAGCGUGCGUAGGUGGUUUGUUAAGUCAGGUGUGAAAUCCUCGGGCUCAACCCGGGAACUGCGCUUGAUACUGGCAGACUCGAGUGUGGUAGAGGAUAGUGGAAUUCCCGGUGUAGCGGUGAAAUGCGUAGAUAUCGGGAGGAACAUCAGUGGCGAAGGCGGCUAUCUGGACCAACACUGACACUGAGGUACGAAAGCGUGGGUAGCAAACAGGAUUAGAAACCCUAGUAGUCC